GCCCCGCGGUGCAUUAGCUAGUUGGUAAGGUAAAGGCUUACCAAGGCGAUGAUGCAUAGCCGAGUUGAGAGACUGAUCGGCCACAUUGGGACUGAGACACGGCCCAAACUCCUACGGGAGGCAGCAGUAGGGAAUCUUCCACAAUGGACGCAAGUCUGAUGGAGCAACGCCGCGUGAGUGAAGAAGGUUUUCGGAUCGUAAAGCUCUGUUGUUGGUGAAGAAGGAUAGAGGUAGUAACUGGCCUUUAUUUGACGGUAAUCAACCAGAAAGUCACGGCUAACUACGUGCCAGCAGCCGCGGUAAUACGUAGGUGGCAAGCGUUGUCCGGAUUUAUUGGGCGUAAAGCGAGCGCAGGCGGAAGAAUAAGUCUGAUGUGAAAGCCCUCGGCUUAACCGAGGAACUGCAUCGGAAACUGUUUUUCUUGAGUGCAGAAGAGGAGAGUGGAACUCCAUGUGUAGCGGUGGAAUGCGUAGAUAUAUGGAAGAACACCAGUGGCGAAGGCGGCUCUCUGGUCUGCAACUGACGCUGAGGCUCGAAAGCAUGGGUAGCGAACAGGAUUAGAUACCCUGGUAGUCCAUGCCGUAAACGAUGAGUGCUAAGUGUUGGGAGGUUUCCGCCUCUCAGUGCUGCAGCUAACGCA
RNAcentral lists this ribosomal RNA (640 nucleotides) under uncultured bacterium. RNAcentral's name for it is "bacterial SSU rRNA". It matches the Rfam family "Bacterial small subunit ribosomal RNA", at positions 228 to 859 of the family's 1533-position model. The record is from RNAcentral.